This 560-nucleotide ribosomal RNA is filed under the name Nizymenia australis. Its description in RNAcentral is "eukaryotic LSU rRNA". It matches the Rfam family "Eukaryotic large subunit ribosomal RNA", at positions 364 to 1006 of the family's 3401-position model. Lineage: Eukaryota; Rhodophyta; Florideophyceae; Gigartinales; Nizymeniaceae. The record is from RNAcentral.
AUGACAAGCACUUUGAAAAGAGGGUGAAAAGAACCUGAAACCGCCACGGGGGAAGCGGAUUGCGUUGGAUUGGUGGGUGCUUGCGUGUUCAGCCCGUUCGGGUGCAUUGGCGCAAGCACUUAUCCGCCGUGGGUUCUCGGCGGUCGAAUUUGGACCGCUGGGGGCUGAGGGCUCCCUUUCAUAGGUGAGGACGGCGGAGCGACGACGCGAUACGACCCGUCUUGAAACACGGACCAAGGAGUCUAGCGCGAGUGCGAGUCGGAGGGUGAAAGCCCGUGGGCGAAGUGAAAGCGAGUUUAAAAACUAGCAGUUUGGGGCGGCAUAAGAUCGUUGAUCUCAAGACCGACCCGGAGCAGUUGCGCUGGGACCCGAAAGAUGGUGAACUAUGCCGGAGUAGGGCAAAGCCAGAGGAAACUCUGGUGGAGGCUCGUAGCGGUGCUGACGUGCAAAUCGCUCGUCGAACUUGGGUAUAGGGGCGAAAGACUAAUCGAACCAUCUAGUAGCUGGUUCCCUCCGAAGUUUCUCUCAGGAUAGCGGGCCGACAUUGAGUUGUUUUGUGC